UUCGCCCUUAGAGUUUGAUCCUGGCUCAGGACGAACGCUGGCGGCGCGCCUAACACAUGCAAGUCGAACGAGCGAGAGAGAGCUUGCUUUCUCGAGCGAGUGGCGAACGGGUGAGUAACGCGUGAGGAACCUGCCUCAAAGAGGGGGACAACAGUUGGAAACGGCUGCUAAUACCGCAUAAGCCCACGACCCGGCAUCGGGUAGAGGGAAAAGGAGCAAUCCGCUUUGAGAUGGCCUCGCGUCCGAUUAGCUAGUUGGUGAGGUAAUGGCCCACCAAGGCAACGAUCGGUAGCCGGACUGAGAGGUUGAACGGCCACAUUGGGACUGAGACACGGCCCAGACUCCUACGGGAGGCAGCAGUGGGGAAUAUUGCACAAUGGGGGAAACCCUGAUGCAGCGACGCCGCGUGGAGGAAGAAGGUCUUCGGAUUGUAAACUCCUGUUGUUGGGGAAGAUAAUGACGGUACCCAACAAGGAAGUGACGGCUAACUACGUGCCAGCAGCCGCGGUAAAACGUAGGUCACAAGCGUUGUCCGGAAUUACUGGGUGUAAAGGGAGCGCAGGCGGGUGAUCAAGUUGGAAGUGAAAUCCAUGGGCUCAACCCAUGAACUGCUUUCAAAACUGAUUGUCUUGAGUAGUGCAGAGGUAGGCGGGAAUUCCCGGUGUAGGCGGUGGAAUGGGUAGAUAUCGGGAGGAAACACCCAGUGGGGAAGGCGGCCUUACUGGGCACCAACUGACGCUGAGGCUCGAAAGUGUGGGUAGCAAACAGGAUUAGAUACCCUGGUAGUCCACACCGUAAACGAUGAUUACUAGGUGUUGGAGGAUUGACCCCUUCAGUGCCGCAGUUAACACAAUAAGUAAUCCACCUGGGGAGUACGACCGCAAGGUUGAAACUCAAAGGAAUUGACGGGGGCCCGCACAAGCAGUGGAGUAUGUGGUUUAAUUCGACGCAACGCGAAGAACCUUACCAAGUCUUGACAUCCUGCGACGAACAUAGAAAUAUGUUUUUCCUUCGGGACGCAGAGACAGGUGGUGCAUGGUUGUCGUCAGCUCGUGUCGUGAGAUGUUGGGUUAAGUCCCGCAACGAGCGCAACCCUUAUGGUCAGUUACUACGCAAGAGGACUCUGGCCAGACUGCCGUUGACAAAACGGAGGAAGGUGGGGAUGACGUCAAAUCAUCAUGCCCUUUAUGACUUGGGCUACACACGUACUACAAUGGCGUUAAACAAAGAGAAGCAAGACCGCGAGGUGGAGCAAAACUCAGAAACAACGUCCCAGUUCGGACUGCAGGCUGCAACUCGCCUGCACGAAGUCGGAAUUGCUAGUAAUCGCAGAUCAGCAUGCUGCGGUGAAUACGUUCCCGGGCCUUGCACACACCGCCCGUCA
This 1384-nucleotide ribosomal RNA is filed under the name uncultured bacterium. RNAcentral describes it as "16S ribosomal RNA". It matches the Rfam family "Bacterial small subunit ribosomal RNA". The record is from RNAcentral.